Molecule: unclassified non-coding RNA, 329 nt
Filed under: soil metagenome
Description: partial contains 5.8S ribosomal RNA, internal transcribed spacer 2, and large subunit ribosomal RNA
Rfam family: 5.8S ribosomal RNA (bases 1-120)
Source: RNAcentral
GAUUAAGAACGUAGCGAAAUGCGAUAAGUAAUGUGAAUUGCAGAAUUCAGUGAAUCAUCGAAUCUUUGAACGCACAUUGCGCCCUCUGGUAUUCCGGGGGGCAUGCCUGUUCGAGCGUCAUUAUAACCACUCAAGCUCUCGCUUGGUAUUGGGGCUCGCGGUUCCGCGGCCCCUAAAAUCAGUGGCGGUGCCUGUCGGCUCUACGCGUAGUAAUACUCCUCGCGAUUGAGUCCGGUGGGUCUACUUGCCAGCAACCCCCAAUUUUUACAGGUUGACCUCGGAUCAGGUAGGGAUACCCGCUGAACUUAAGCAUAUCAAUAAGCGGAGGA